RNAcentral lists this ribosomal RNA (402 nucleotides) under uncultured bacterium. RNAcentral describes it as "bacterial SSU rRNA". It matches the Rfam family "Bacterial small subunit ribosomal RNA", at positions 355 to 774 of the family's 1533-position model. The record is from RNAcentral.
UGGGGAAUCUUGCACAAUGGAGGAAACUCUGAUGCAGCGACGCCGCGUGAGCGAAGAAGCCUUUCGGGGUGUAAAGCUCUUACGCCAGGGACGAUAAUGACGGUACCUGGAGAAGCAGCUGCGGCUAACUACGUGCCAGCAGCCGCGGUAAUACGUAGGCAGCAAGCGUUGUUCGGAAUUACUGGGCGUAAAGGGUGCUCAGGCGGAUUUGUAAGUCAGAGGUGAAAUCUUACAGCUUAACUGUGAAACUGCCUUUGAUACUGCAAGCCUAGAGUAUGGAAGAGAGUGAUGGAAUAUCUGGUGUAGCAGUGAAAUGCGUAGAUAUCAGAUAGAACACCAAUGGCGAAGGCAGUCACUUGGUCCAUUACUGACGCUAAAGCACGAAAGCGUGGGUAGCAAACA